Molecule: ribosomal RNA, 484 nt
Filed under: uncultured bacterium
Lineage: Bacteria
Description: partial 16S ribosomal RNA
Rfam family: Bacterial small subunit ribosomal RNA
Source: RNAcentral
AUUGAACGCUGGCGGCAGGCCUAACACAUGCAAGUCGAGCGGAUGAAGGGAGCUUGCUCCUGGAUUCAGCGGCGGACGGGUGAGUAAUGCCUAGGAAUCUGCCUGGUAGUGGGGGAUAACGUCCGGAAACGGGCGCUAAUACCGCAUACGUCCUGAGGGAGAAAGUGGGGGAUCUUCGGACCUCACGCUAUCAGAUGAGCCUAGGUCGGAUUAGCUAGUUGGUGGGGUAAAGGCCUACCAAGGCGACGAUCCGUAACUGGUCUGAGAGGAUGAUCAGUCACACUGGAACUGAGACACGGUCCAGACUCCUACGGAAGGCAGCAGUGGGGAAUAUUGGACAAUGGGCGAAAGCCUGAUCCAGCCAUGCCGCGUGUGUGAAGAAGGUCUUCGGAUUGUAAAGCACUUUAAGUUGGGAGGAAGGGCAGUAAGUUAAUACCUUGCUGUUUUGACGUUACCAACAGAAUAGGCACCGGCUAACUUCGUG